Molecule: ribosomal RNA, 638 nt
Filed under: uncultured organism
Description: bacterial SSU rRNA
Rfam family: Bacterial small subunit ribosomal RNA
Source: RNAcentral
GCGGCUGAUCGAAAGCAUUAAGUGAUCCACCUGGGGAGUACGUCGGCAACGAUGAAACUCUAAGGUAUUGACGGGGGCCCGCACAAGCGGUGGAACAUGUGGUUUAAUUCGAUGAUACGCGAGGAACCUUACCUGGGCUUAAAUGUAGCCGGACGAUUCCGGAAACGGGAUUUCCUUAACGGCUGGUUACAAGGUGCUGCAUGGCUGUCGUCAGCUCGUGCCGUGAGGUGUCGGGUUAAGUCCCAUAACGAGCGCAACCCUUAUUCUUAGUUGCCAGCGGGUAGAGCCGGGGACUCUAAGGAGACUGCCACCGUAAGGUGUGAGGAAGGUGGGGAUGACGUCAAGUCAGCACGGCCCUUACGUCCAGGGCUACACACGUGUUACAAUGGCCGGUACAGAAGGCAGCAAACUUGAGAGAGGGCGCGAAUCCAUGAAAGCCGGUCUCAGUUCGGAUUGGAGUCUGCAACCUGACUUCAUGAAGUUGGAAUCGCUAGUAAUCGCGCAUCAGCAACGGCGCGGUGAUACGUUCCCGGGCAUUGUACACACCGCCCGUCAAGCCAUGGAGCCGGGGGUACCUGAAGUCCGUAACCGCAAGGAGCGGCCGAGGGUAAACUGGUGACUGGGCUAAGUCGUAACAA